Molecule: ribosomal RNA, 465 nt
Filed under: uncultured bacterium
Lineage: Bacteria
Description: partial 16S ribosomal RNA
Rfam family: Bacterial small subunit ribosomal RNA
Source: RNAcentral
GACGAACGCUGGCGGCGUGCUUAACACAUGCAAGUCGAACGGAAAGGCCCUGCUUGCAGGGUACUCGAGUGGCGAACGGGUGAGUAACACGUGGGUGAUCUGCCCUGCACUUCGGGAUAAGCCUGGGAAACUGGGUCUAGUACCUGAUAGGAGCCAUUUUGAGUGUGAUGGUUGGAAAGUUUUUUCGGUGUAGGAUGAGCUCGCGGCCUAUCAGCUUGUUGGUGGGGUAAUGGCCUACCAAGGCGGCGACGGGUAGCCGGCCUGAGAGGGUGGACGGCCACAUUGGGACUGAGAGACGGCCCAGACACCUACGGGAGGCAGCAGUGGGGAAUAUUGCACAAUGGGCGCAAGCCUGAUGCAGAGACGCCGCGUGGGGGAUGACGGCCUUCGGGUUGGAAACUCAUUUCGCUAGGGACGAAGCUUUUUGUGACGGUACCUAGAUAAGAAGCACCGGCUAACUACGUG